CACAUACUGACAACUGGUCUCUGAGGUCAUCAUGAUCAGAAACACAAUAACGAUGGCAGCAAGACUGCUCAAGGUCAUACUCCUCUGUGUUCUAGGUCUAAGUGAUGGAAGUGAUGUUACCCAGACCCCCCUGCUGUGGAAGGAACAAGGUCAAUCUGCCAUGAUGGACUGCAAUCACACUAAGGGUGCUGCUUUUUACCAGAUGUAUUGGUUCAGACAGCUACCAGAAGAAACAAUGAAAAAAGUCCUUUUCACUAUUCCAAACAUUAAGCCUGAUUAUGAACGUGGCUUCAGUGAGGAGAAACACACCGUCACUAAGCCUGAUGCUUUCAGUGGAAUGUUCACAGUCAAGAACUUGGUGCCAGAAGAUAACGGCUUGUAUUUCUGUGCUGGGGACCUCGAGUACCACAAAUACUCCCUGAUACACUGUGAUACAAUAUGUGGGUUUUGAUACACCAGCUGACAGGCAGCAGUGCUCCCAUUCAUGUCUCUGCAAGUCAGCCCCUCCCAUCACAUACUGACAACUGGUCUCUGAGGUCUUCAUGAUCAGAAACACAAUAACGAUGGCAGCAAGACUGCUCAAGGUCAUACUCCUCUGUGUU
Thalassophryne amazonica is the source of this 602-nucleotide non-coding RNA. The record is from the annotation of a RefSeq genome assembly. Lineage: Eukaryota; Metazoa; Chordata; Actinopteri; Batrachoidiformes; Batrachoididae.